ACGGCUGAGUAACACGUAGGAACCUACCCCUCAGUUCGGGAUAACGGGACGAAAGCCCCGCUAACACCGGAUAAUAUCGAAAGAUUGAAAGGUUACGCUGAGGGAGGGGCCUGCGGGCUAUUAGCUUGUUGGUGGGGUAACGGCUCACCAAGGCGAUGAUGGCUAGCUGGUCUGAGAGGAUGAUCAGCCAGACUGGGACUGAGACACGGCCCAGACUCCUACGGGAGGCAGCAGUUCAGAAUCUUGCACAAUGGGCGAAAGCCUGAUGCAGCGAUACCGCGUGGGUGAAGAAGGCCUUCGGGUCGUAAAGCCCUGUCAGAGGGAAAGAUAAUGACGGUACCCUCUAAGGAAGCCACGGCUAAUUACGUGCCAGCAGCCGCGGUAAUACGUAAGUGGCGAGCGUUAUCCGGAAUUACUGGGCGUAAAGCGUGCGUAGGCGGUUUAGUGUGUGGGAUUUGAAAGCCCGGGGCACAACUCCGGAUCCGGAUCCCAAACUGCUAGACUCGAGAGUAUCAGAGGAGAGCGGAAUUCCCGGUGUAGCGGUAAUAUGCGUAGA
Molecule: ribosomal RNA, 556 nt
Filed under: uncultured bacterium
Lineage: Bacteria
Description: bacterial SSU rRNA
Rfam family: Bacterial small subunit ribosomal RNA
Source: RNAcentral